GUUGUAUAGUCAAGUAAUUAAGUGCAUGUGGUGGAUGCCUUGGCAGUCAGAGGCGAUGAAAGACGUGAUAGCCUGCGAAAAGCUCCGGGGAGGCGGCAAAUAUCCUUUGAUCCGGAGAUGUCUGAAUGGGGGAACCCACCUACUUUAAGGUAGGUAUUGCAACAUGAAUACAUAGUGUUGCAAGGCGAACGAGGGGAAGUGAAACAUCUCAGUACCCUUAGGAAAAGAAAUCAAUUGAGAUUCCCUCAGUAGCGGCGAGCGAACGGGGAUCAGCCCAUUAAGUUAUGUGUGUUUUAGUGGAACGCUCUGGGAAGUGCGAACGUAGAGGGUGAUAUUCCCGUACACGAAAGGGCACACAUAAUGAUGACGAGUAGGGCGAGGCACGUGAAACCUUGUCUGAAUAUGGGGGGACCAUCCUCCAAGGCUAAAUACUCCUGACUGACCGAUAGUGAACCAGUACCGUGAGGGAAAGGCGAAAAGAACCCCUGUGAGGGGAGUGAAAUAGAUCCUGAAACCGCAUGCAUACAAGCAGUGGGAGCACCUUCGUGGUGUGACUGCGUACCUUUUGUAUAAUGGGUCAGCGACUUAUAUUCAGUAGCGAGGUUAACCGUAUAGGGGAGCCGUAGAGAAAUCGAGUCUUAAUAGGGCGUUUAGUUGCUGGGUAUAGACCCGAAACCAGGCGAUCUAUCCAUGAGCAGGUUGAAGGUUGGGUAACACUAACUGGAGGACCGAACCCACUGUCGUUGAAAAGCCAGGGGAUGACUUGUGGAUAGGGGUGAAAGGCUAAUCAAGCCUGGUGAUAGCUGGUUCUCCCCGAAAGCUAUUUAGGUAGCGCCUCGGACGAAUACCAUAGGGGGUAGAGCACUGUUUCGGCUAGGGGGUCAUCCCGACUUACCAAACCGAUGCAAACUCCGAAUACCUAUGAGUACUAUCCGGGAGACAGACUGCGGGUGCUAACGUCCGUAGUCAAGAGGAAAACAAUCCAGACCGCCAGCUAAGGCCCCAAAAUCAUAGUUAAGUGGGAAACGAUGUGGGAAGGCAUAGACAGCUAGGAGGUUGGCUUAGAAGCAGCCACCCUUUAAAGAAAGCGUAAUAGCUCACUAGUCGAGUCGGCCUGCGCGGAAGAUGUAACGGGGCUAAAACUAUGUGCCGAAGCUGCGGAUGUAUACUUUGUAUACGUGGUAGGGGAGCGUUCUGUAAGCCGAUGAAGGUGUGUUGAGAAGCAUGCUGGAGGUAUCAGAAGUGCGAAUGCUGACGUGAGUAACGACAAAACGGGUGAAAAACCCGUUCGCCGAAAGACCAAGGGUUCCAGUCCAACGUUAAUCGGGGCUGGGUGAGUCGACCCCUAAGGCGAGGCCGAAAGGCGUAGUCGAUGGGAAAAUGGUUAAUAUUCCAUUACUUCUGUGUAAUGCGAUGAGAGGACGGAGAAGGCUAAAUCAGCCUGGCGUUGGUUGUCCAGGUGAAAGGAUGUAGGCAUGUAUCUUAGGCAAAUCCGGGGUACUCUAUGCUGAGAUCUGAUAGCAAGCUGUACUUGUACAGCGAAGUGGUUGAUGCCAUGCUUCCAGGAAAAGUCUCUAAGCUUCAGUUACACAGGAAUCGUACCCGAAACCGACACAGGUGGUCAGGUCGAGUAGACCAAGGCGCUUGAGAGAACUCUGCUGAAGGAACUAGGCAAAAUGGUACCGUAACUUCGGGAGAAGGUACGCUGUUGUUGGUGAUGGAACUCGCUUCCUGAGCUGACGACAGCCGCAGAAACCAGGCCGCUGCAACUGUUUAUUAAAAACAUAGCACUCUGCAAACACGAAAGUGGACGUAUAGGGUGUGAUGCCUGCCCGGUGCUGGAAGGUUAAUUGAUGGGGUUAGCGUAAGCGAAGCUCUUGAUCGAAGCCCCAGUAAACGGCGGCCGUAACUAUAACGGUCCUAAGGUAGCGAAAUUCCUUGUCGGGUAAGUUCCGACCUGCACGAAUGGCAUAAUGAUGGCGGCGCUGUCUCCAGCAGAGGCUCAGUGAAAUCGAAAUCGCUGUGAAGAUGCAGUGUACCCGCGGCUAGACGGAAAGACCCCGUGAACCUUUACUGCAGCUUGACACUGAACUUUGACCUUACUUGUGUAGGAUAGGUGGGAGGCUUUGAAGCUGGAACGCUAGUUCCAGUGGAGCCGUCCUUGAAAUACCACCCUGGUAAUGUUGAGGUUCUAACUCUGUCCCGUGAUCCGGGACGAGGACCGUGUCUGGUGGGUAGUUUGACUGGGGCGGUCUCCUCCUAAAGAGUAACGGAGGAGUACGAAGGUGCGCUCAGCGUGGUCGGAAAUCACGCGUAGAGUAUAAAGGCAAAAGCGCGCUUAACUGCGAGACCCACAAGUCGAGCAGGUACGAAAGUAGGUCUUAGUGAUCCGGUGGUUCUGUAUGGAAGGGCCAUCGCUCAACGGAUAAAAGGUACUCUGGGGAUAACAGGCUGAUACCGCCCAAGAGUUCAUAUCGACGGCGGUGUUUGGCACCUCGAUGUCGGCUCAUCUCAUCCUGGGGCUGAAGCAGGUCCCAAGUGUAUGGCUGUUCGCCAUUUAAAGAGGUACGCGAGCUGGGUUUAGAACGUCGUGAGACAGUUCGGUCCCUAUCUACCGUGGGCGCUGGAAAUUUGAGAGGAUCUGCUCCUAGUACGAGAGGACCAGAGUGGACGAACCUCUGGUGUACCGGUUGUGACGCCAGUCGCAUCGCCGGGUAGCUAUGUUCGGAAGGGAUAACCGCUGAAAGCAUCUAAGCGGGAAGCCUACCUCAAGAUAAGAUUUCCCUAGGACUUUAUGUCCUCUAAAGAGCCGUUCGAGACUAGGACGUUGAUAGGUUGGAUGUGGAAGCAUAGUGAUAUGUGAAGCUGACCAAUACUAAUUGCUCGUGAGGCUUGACUAUACAACACCCAAGCAGUUG
Molecule: ribosomal RNA, 2918 nt
Filed under: Acinetobacter baumannii
Lineage: Bacteria; Pseudomonadati; Pseudomonadota; Gammaproteobacteria; Moraxellales; Moraxellaceae
Description: bacterial LSU rRNA
Rfam family: Bacterial large subunit ribosomal RNA
Source: RNAcentral